AGAGAGGAAGAAUCAUAGGUGGAACCGUGAAAGAGAAAGAGAGUACGAAGAGAGAGAGAGAGUGAAAGUAAGAAUAGGAAACUCAUGGCACACAAUCUAUAAUAAUUUACACUUCCAUUAAAUCAAGUGCAGUUUCGUAAUUUUGGUUAGGUUUGAGGGUAUUAAGCUAAAUGUCUCUUAAUAUAAAUGACCAAAAUUAUUUACGUAAAAUUAUUUCUAUAAAUGCUUAAAAAACAUAUACCAAGUGUGUAUAAUAAAAUCAAAAUAAAUGUGAAUAAAGAAUAAAUGAUUUUGGU
Molecule: long non-coding RNA, 296 nt
Filed under: Brassica napus (rape)
Lineage: Eukaryota; Viridiplantae; Streptophyta; Magnoliopsida; Brassicales; Brassicaceae
Description: long non-coding RNA (BNAP_LNC005224)
Source: RNAcentral